Long non-coding RNA from Myotis davidii, 832 nucleotides. RefSeq lists it as uncharacterized. The transcript is spliced from 4 exons. The record is from RefSeq and is a predicted model, not a curated record. Lineage: Eukaryota; Metazoa; Chordata; Mammalia; Chiroptera; Vespertilionidae.
UCUCGGCUGCUCCCGGUCGCCCAGCGGGGGAGCCGGGUCGGAGGGGCCCGGGACGGCCGAGAAGCUGGUCUGCGCCCCCACUUGGUGCUGCGGGGCUUUGGAGAAGACCCCCGAUCUCCAGCCCCUUCCCUCAAAGCUAUGAGACCGUGGUCCGGUUCCGGGGCAGUCCAUCCUCGGGUUCCCCAUUUGUAGAAUGGGGGUCCCCAGCCCCUACGUCAGAGACAGGAAAAUAUUCAGAAAACUGGGAACAGCGUGGACUCCGGGAAGGAGACGAAGGCCUGGACACAUGAAGUGGCUGCCCAAGGGGCUCAGCUAGUGCGCGGCAGGACGAGAAGGGCAAGUGAAUGAAUGUUGGGAGUGAAGAAGCAGCACCAUCAGGACCACAGGCAUACCUCGGAGAUGUUGUGGACUUGGUUCCAGACUAUUGCAAUAAAAAGCUUGUUCCUGUCCUUGUGGUUUGCUGCUUGGAAAAUCACCUUAAUGCAGGUGAGUCAACACAGGUGGACACGAUGAAGAAGCGUCAUUUGGAACUGGAACUUCACACGUGAACGUGCGGAGGCUUUCUGCUGCUAGAGGGUCCGAGUUCUGUUUCUUAGCAUCUCCGUGUCUUUACUAGAAUCCAUCUCAGAAGCGAUGAAAGAAGAGCCUUUCUCUUAAAAACUGUCAGUAGUACUCACUUAUUUUGGACAACACCCUCCUUUAGGAGAGGAACCAUCAAUAGUAAAAAUCAGUAUUUGGUCCGAGGGUGGGUGCUAAGGGUGGGGCGUUCCUCUUCAUUCCUUUUAUACAGAGUGCCCCCCAAAAAAUGUAUACACACUUUGAAUGAUCAUAA